This is a long non-coding RNA of Acinonyx jubatus (cheetah), 1047 nucleotides long. RefSeq lists it as uncharacterized. NCBI's taxonomy places the organism in Eukaryota, Metazoa, Chordata, Mammalia, Carnivora, Felidae. The record is from RefSeq and is a predicted model, not a curated record. The transcript is spliced from 3 exons.
CACCUUGGUCCAGUUGGAGCUAAUCCCGGGGAUAUCUCAUUAUUUUCUGGAGUCUCUCAUUAUUCCUGGACCGCUAACAGUGAGGAAGAGAUCCUCACUUCAAGGAUCUACCUCUCCUGAGCUUGCUGGCCAAGUCUGGUGGCGCCAUGAAAUUGUCCUCAGCUCAGUAGCGUUUGGCACAGUAUCGAUGUGUCAUUGCAGGCACGACCGUGCGAUCGACGUGUACCGCCUCCCCCGGAAGGAGAAUGGGGACGGUCAUCCUUGACCGCAACAUCCAAGUACCCGUCCCUCAUUCAAGCCCUCUGGCCCUGGACCCCAGACUCGCCCAUGUCAGGCCUCGAUCUUCUUGGUUGUUGGAUGAGGUACCUAAUUCACACGCAGGCUGGAGGGAUGAGACGGUCUAAUUAAUCAUCGGGAACCGAGCCUGAAUUUAAUAGGCACUCAAUAUAUGUGGUCACCACUCUCCUGCUACUUCUGUAUUAGUAAUAUCAGUAAGAAUAUUAAUGUCAUGAACGAGCCGCCUCGGGUCAAGCACCCAACACAGCGCCUGGGGGGCCAUCGGUCCCCUUCCCUUCUCCCGGCGAGCGUCCUGGCUGUGUCCGGUGGCUGACCCACCCCAAUUAGGUGACUCUCACGUGAAUAUUGACACACAAAGGAACCAGCUGGUGGCCUCUGAACUCACCUCACUUGGGAUCACAGGCUGAUUUCAGCCCCAGUCCUCAGCGCUGAGAGCCAGACUCCUAAUCUCCUUUGACACCAAAGGGACCUGGCCUCACCCCAACCUUUGCUCCCCGUCUCCCCGGUUCCCAGAGUCCCCUGGGCCUGGAGGGAGUCACUGCCCACAGCAGGGAUGCGGCCUGGACCGAGAGCUGGAAGGCCUUCCCCGGGCCGACGUCUGCGGCUCGCAGCAGGGGGAGAUGGAGGCGAAGCAAGUGGAAGCCUUUGGCCUCUGGCUUCUGGAUGGAACAGGGGUGUGUGCAGGUGGGUUUCCAGCCAGAGAGUUCAGGCAGGAGGCAGUUCUGUCGCCCAGGACGGAAAUGCCGACGG